GGAAUAUUGGACAAUGGGGGGAACCCUGAUCCAGCCAUGCCGCGUGUGUGAAGAAGGCCUUUUGGUUGUAAAGCACUUUAAGCGAGGAGGAGGCUCCUAUAGAUAAUACCUAUAGAGAGUGGACGUUACUCGCAGAAUAAGCACCGGCUAACUCUGUGCCAGCAGCCGCGGUAAUACAGAGGGUGCAAGCGUUAAUCGGAUUUACUGGGCGUAAAGCGUACGUAGGUGGUCUUUUAAGUCGGAUGUGAAAUCCCUGAGCUUAACUUAGGAAUUGCAUUCGAUACUGGGAGACUAGAGUAUGGGAGAGGAUGGUAGAAUUCCAGGUGUAGCGGUGAAAUGCGUAGAGAUCUGGAGGAAUACCGAUGGCGAAGGCAGCCAUCUGGCCUAAUACUGACACUGAGGCACGAAAGCAUGGGGAGCAAACAGGAUUAGAUACCCUUG
Molecule: ribosomal RNA, 441 nt
Filed under: uncultured Acinetobacter sp.
Lineage: Bacteria; Pseudomonadati; Pseudomonadota; Gammaproteobacteria; Moraxellales; Moraxellaceae
Description: bacterial SSU rRNA
Rfam family: Bacterial small subunit ribosomal RNA
Source: RNAcentral